CUAUGGGUUGUAAACUGCUUUUGUACGGGAAGAAACCASYCCACGCGUAGGGAGUUGACGGUACCGUAAGAAUAAGCAYCGGCUAACUCCGUGCCAGCAGCCGCGGUAAUACGGAGGGUGCAAGCGUUAUCCGGAUUCAUUGGGUUUAAAGGGUGCGUAGGCGGAUUGAUAAGUCAGKGGUGAAAUCCCGCAGCUUAACUGUGRAACUGCCAUUGAUACUGUCARUCUUGAAUACAGUUGAGGUAGGCGGAAUGUGUCAUGUAGCGGUGAAAUGCUUAGAUAUGACACAGAACACCRAUUGCGAAGGCAGCUUGCUARACURKAAUUGACGCUGAGGCACGAAAGCGUGGGGAUCAAACAGGAUUAGAUACCCUGGUAGUCCACGCCSUAAACUAUGAUUACUCGAUGUUUGYGAUACACAGU
This 423-nucleotide ribosomal RNA is filed under the name uncultured Sphingobacteriales bacterium. RNAcentral's name for it is "partial 16S ribosomal RNA". It matches the Rfam family "Bacterial small subunit ribosomal RNA", at positions 416 to 837 of the family's 1533-position model. The record is from RNAcentral. Lineage: Bacteria; Pseudomonadati; Bacteroidota; Sphingobacteriia; Sphingobacteriales.